RNAcentral lists this ribosomal RNA (447 nucleotides) under uncultured bacterium. RNAcentral's name for it is "bacterial SSU rRNA". It matches the Rfam family "Bacterial small subunit ribosomal RNA", at positions 330 to 792 of the family's 1533-position model. The record is from RNAcentral.
GCCAGACUCCUACGGGAGGCAGCAGUGGGGAAUAUUGGGCAAUGGACGCAAGUCUGACCCAGCAACGCCGCGUGAAGGAAGAAGGCUUUCGGGUUGUAAACUUCUUUUAAGGGGGAAGAGCAGAAGACGGUACCCCUUGAAUAAGCCACGGCUAACUACGUGCCAGCAGCCGCGGUAAUACGUAGGGGGCAAGCGUUAUCCGGAUUUACUGGGUGUAAAGGGAGCGUAGACGGCUGAGCAAGUCAGAAGUGAAAGCCCGGGGCUCAACCCCGGGACUGCUUUUGAAACUGCGGAGCUGGAGUGCAGGAGAGGUAAGCGGAAUUCCUGGUGUAGCGGUGAAAUGCGUAGAUAUCAGGAGGAACACCAGUGGCGAAGGCGGCUUACUGGACUGUAACUGACGUUGAGGCUCGAAAGCGUGGGGAGCAAACAGGAUUAGAUACCCCAGUA